AUUGAACGCUGGCGGCAUGCCUUACACAUGCAAGUCGAACGGCAGCACGGGAGCAAUCCUGGUGGCGAGUGGCGAACGGGUGAGUAAAGUAUCGGAACGUGCCCAGUCGUGGGGGAUAACGUAGCGAAAGUUACGCGAAUACCGCAUACGAUCUAUGGAUGAAAGCGGGGGAUCGCAAGACCUCUCGCGAUUGGAGCGGCCGAUAUCAGGUUAGGUAGUUGGUGGGGUAAAGGCUCACCAAGCCGACGAUCUGUAGCUGGUCUGAGAGGACGACCAGCCACACUGGGACUGAGACACGGCCCAGACUCCUACGGGAGGCAGCGGUGGGGAAUUUUGGACAAUGGGCGAAAGCCUGAUCCAGCCAUGCCGCGUGCAGGAUGAAGGCCUUCGGGUUGUAAACUGCUUUUGUGCGGAACGAAAAGGUUUGGCCUAAUAAGCUGAGCUCAUGACGGUACCGUAAGAAUAAGCACCGGCUAACUACGUGCCAGCCGCCGCAGUAA
RNAcentral lists this ribosomal RNA (500 nucleotides) under uncultured bacterium. RNAcentral describes it as "partial 16S ribosomal RNA". It matches the Rfam family "Bacterial small subunit ribosomal RNA", at positions 30 to 523 of the family's 1533-position model. The record is from RNAcentral.